UGGGGAAUUUUGGACAAUGGGCGAAAGCCUGAUCCAGCAAUGCCGCGUGUGUGAAGAAGGCCUUCGGGUUGUAAAGCACUUUUGUCCGGAAAGAAAUCCUUGGCUCUAAUACAGUCGGGGGAUGACGGUACCGGAAGAAUAAGCACCGGCUAACUACGUGCCAGCAGCCGCGGUAAUACGUAGGGUGCAAGCGUUAAUCGGAAUUACUGGGCGUAAAGCGUGCGCAGGCGGUUUGCUAAGACCGAUGUGAAAUCCCCGGGCUCAACCCGGGAACUGCAUUGGUGACUGGCAGGCUAGAGUAUGGCAGAGGGGGGUAGAAUUCCACGUGUAGCAGUGAAAUGCGUAGAGAUGUGGAGGAAUACCGAUGGCGAAGGCAGCCCCCUGGGCCAAUACUGACGCUCAUGCACGAAAGCGUGGGGAGCAAACAGGAUUAGAUACGUGGUAGUCCAGCGCCCUAAACGAUGUCAACUAGUUGUUGGGGAUUCAUUUCCUUAGUAACGUAGCUAACGCGUGAAGUUGACCGCCUGGGGAGUACGGUCGCAAGAUUAAAACUCAAAGGAGUUG
RNAcentral lists this ribosomal RNA (564 nucleotides) under uncultured bacterium. RNAcentral's name for it is "partial 16S ribosomal RNA". It matches the Rfam family "Bacterial small subunit ribosomal RNA", at positions 355 to 912 of the family's 1533-position model. The record is from RNAcentral.